This 253-nucleotide ribosomal RNA is filed under the name uncultured bacterium. RNAcentral's name for it is "partial 16S ribosomal RNA". It matches the Rfam family "Bacterial small subunit ribosomal RNA", at positions 524 to 776 of the family's 1533-position model. The record is from RNAcentral.
UACGUAGGUGACAAGCGUUAUCCGGAUUUACUGGGCGUAAAGAGCGCGCAGGCGGUCGUUCAAGUCGAGUGUGAAAGCCCCCGGCUCAACUGGGGAGGGUCACUCGAUACUGAUCGACUCGAAGGCAGGAGAGGGUAGUGGAAUUCCCGGUGUAGUGGUGAAAUGCGUAGAUAUCGGGAGGAACACCAGUGGCGAAGGCGACUACCUGGCCUGUUCUUGACGCUGAGGCGCGAAAGCUAGGGGAGCAAACGGG